RNAcentral lists this ribosomal RNA (256 nucleotides) under uncultured bacterium. RNAcentral describes it as "partial 16S ribosomal RNA". It matches the Rfam family "Bacterial small subunit ribosomal RNA", at positions 103 to 354 of the family's 1533-position model. The record is from RNAcentral.
CGGGUGAGUAACGCGUGGGUAACCUACCUUUCAGCGGGGGAUAAUUAUUGGAAACGAUAGCUAAUACCGCAUAACAAUGUUGGAUGCAUAUUCGACAUUUGAAAGUACCAAUUGGUACACUGAGAGAUGGACCCGCGUUGUAUUAGCUAGUUGGUAGUGUAAUGGACUACCAAGGCGAUGAUACAUAGCCGACCUGAGAGGGUGAUCGGCCACAUUGGGACUGAGACACGGCCCAAACUCCUACGGAAGGCAGCAG